This is a long non-coding RNA of Perca flavescens (yellow perch), 1111 nucleotides long. RefSeq lists it as uncharacterized. Lineage: Eukaryota; Metazoa; Chordata; Actinopteri; Perciformes; Percidae. The record is from RefSeq and is a predicted model, not a curated record. The transcript is spliced from 3 exons.
ACCAAACUCUUCCGUUAGAGGCCAGAUUAACUAAAGCCAAAAACAGCCAAGAGGAGGUGCAGAAGUCUAGUUUUCUCUCAGACCACUUGAACAAUAUGCCGAGGGUUAUUAUUAUUAUUACUAUUAUUGUUUCCAGACAGCUGUAAGGGUUUAGCAUAAGGUUCCUGAGAAAUAGCAUUCAACCCAGCGAUUUACGAUGCUCAACUAGAAGAGGAGGCUGGAUGACUAAACAGCACGUCCACAUUGGCAACAAAUCCCCAGGUGAAGACAUGACAGCAGCCGGGAGCUAAGACAGACCAGCCAGACUGGAACGGACCCAGCGAACAGUCCUCACUGAGGCGGACUGCCAGAGAUCUGAGCCAAGCCCUCCUCCUCCUCCGACCAACAGAUGGAUGAUAAGGCUGGCCCAGGGUCAGAGGGUGCCAGCUUGGAGCGGACACACAAGGAGGAAGAAAGUGAAACGGGUCUAAAGGAAAACUAAGCCAUAUGGUACCUCAGGUGUACUGCUGAGUCAUUACAGAGCACUUUUUGUAGAUAGCCUGGCCUUAGGGUAGAUGUCCCAUUAACUCCCACUGCAGAGAGGGAAAAGGAAGCAAUUUCCACAUGAACUUUCUGAAUUAAUCAUUUCUACAAAUUCUGGUUUAUUUCUUAGCUUUCUGACUAAACUAAAAACACCCAGCAUUGAGUUCAAAUCAGUCAUACAGUAUGAAUGGAGUUACCCUGUGUGACGUCGCCCCCUAGUGGACGUCCUAAUCCCUACCAACCAAGCCCAGGGACCCAACGCUUGCAAAAGAGGGAGAAGUGAUUACAGCCAUAAUUAGGAAAUUAUUAUAUAUUGGGCAGCAGUUCUCAGUUCUGGUCUUCUGGAUACAGACCAGAGGCCUAAUGGUUUUCAUUUUAACAGUCUAAUCAGCGGUUAAUUUAUACCUGAUAUGCCCAAUAAAUGCAACUACCUGCAAGACCAGAAGCACUUUUGGUACAAUAGACCCACUGUUUAAAAUGCAAAUGCUUAUACCGAUGUCAGGGUAUAUUGUUUUUUUUUAGUGAAAGAGAAAAUGUACUUCCUAAAAUCUAUAAACAAAUUUCAGUGCGUCCCUUUAAUUAAUUAACU